RNAcentral lists this ribosomal RNA (800 nucleotides) under uncultured bacterium. RNAcentral describes it as "bacterial SSU rRNA". It matches the Rfam family "Bacterial small subunit ribosomal RNA", at positions 60 to 852 of the family's 1533-position model. The record is from RNAcentral.
AGCGGGGCGGCAGGGUUGCCUGGCGGCGCCGGCGACCGGCGCACGGGUGAGUAACACGUAUGCAACCUGCCCGUGGCAGGGGGAUAAGCGGGGGAAACCCCGUCUAAUACCGCGUAACGCGGCCUAGGGACAUCCCAAGGCCGCCAAAGGGAGCAAUCCCGGCCACGGAUGGGCAUGCGGCGCAUUAGCUAGUCGGCGGGGUAACGGCCCACCGAGGCGACGAUGCGUAGGGGUUCUGAGAGGAAGGCCCCCCACACUGGUACUGAGACACGGACCAGACUCCUACGGGAGGCAGCAGUGAGGAAUAUUGGUCAAUGGGCGCGAGCCUGAACCAGCCAAGUCGCGUGAGGGAGGACGGCCCUACGGGUUGUAAACCUCUUUUGCCGGGGAGCAACGGGCGCCACGUGUGGCGCCACUGAGAGUACCCGGAGAAAAAGCAUCGGCUAACUCCGUGCCAGCAGCCGCGGUAAUACGGAGGAUGCGAGCGUUAUCCGGAUUUAUUGGGUUUAAAGGGUGCGUAGGCGGAUCGUUAAGUCAGUGGUCAAAUUGAGGGGCUCAACCCCUUCCCGCCAUUGAAACUGGCGAUCUUGAGUGGAAGAGAAGUAUGCGGAAUGCGUGGUGUAGCGGUGAAAUGCAUAGAUAUCACGCAGAACCCCGAUUGCGAAGGCAGCAUGCCGGCUUCCUACUGACGCUGAAGCGCGAAAGCGUGGGGAUCGAACAGGAUUAGAUACCCUGGUAGUCCACGCGGUAAAACGAUGAGCGCUAGGUGUCCGGGGGGAAUGGCCCCUGGGUGCCACAGC